Molecule: ribosomal RNA, 1253 nt
Filed under: Turicibacter sanguinis
Lineage: Bacteria; Bacillati; Bacillota; Erysipelotrichia; Erysipelotrichales; Turicibacteraceae
Description: partial 23S ribosomal RNA
Rfam family: Bacterial large subunit ribosomal RNA
Source: RNAcentral
AUCAACUGGAGGACCGAACCCACUAACGUUGCAAAGUUAGGGGAUGACCUGUGGCUGGGGGUGAAAGGCCAAUCAAACCCGGAGAUAGCUGGUUCUCCCCGAAAGCUAUUUAGGUAGCGCCUCGGACGAAUACUACUGGGGGUAGAGCACUGUUAAGGCUAGGGGGUCAUCCCGACUUACCAACCCUUUGCAAACUCCGAAUACCAGUAAGUACUAUCCGGGAGACACACGGCGGGUGCUAACGUCCGUCGUGGAGAGGGAAACAACCCAGACCGCCAGCUAAGGUCCCAAAUUACAGCUAAGUGGGAAACGAUGUGGGAAGGCUCAGACAGCCAGGAAGUUGGCUUAGAAGCAGCCAUCCUUUAAAGAAAGCGUAAUAGCUCACUGGUCGAGUCGGCCUGCGCGGAAGAUGUAACGGGGCUAAGUAGUAAACCGAAGCUGCGGCAAUAUCCUUUGGAUAUUGGGUAGGGGAGCGUUCUGUAAGCCGUUGAAGGUGUGCUGUAAGGGAUGCUGGAGGUAUCAGAAGUGCGAAUGCUGACAUGAGUAACGAUAAAGGGGGUGAAAAACCUCCUCGCCGGAAGACCAAGGGUUCCUGUCCAACGUUAAUCGGGGCAGGGUGAGUCGACCCCUAAGGCGAGGCCGAAAGGCGUAGUCGAUGGGAAACGGGUUAAUAUUCCCGUACUUCUUACAAUUGCGAUGGGGGGACGGAGAAGGCUAGGUGGGCCUGGCGACGGUUGUCCAGGUUCAAGUAUGUAGGCGGAAAGUUUAGGUAAAUCCGGACUUUCUUAACGCUGAGAUACGAUGUCGAGCACCUACGGGUGUGAAGUCAUUGAUGCCAUGCUUCCAGGAAAAGCCUCUAAGCUUCAGAUUGUAAGGAAUCGUACCCCAAACCGACACAGGUGGUCGGGUAGAGAAUACCAAGGCGCUUGAGAGAACUCGGGUGAAGGAACUAGGCAAAAUGGUACCGUAACUUCGGGAGAAGGUACGCUCUUAUCAGUGAAGUCCCUUGCGGAUGGAGCAGACGAGAGUCGCAGAUACCAGGUGGCUGCAACUGUUUAUUAAAAACACAGCACUGUGCAAAAUCGUAAGAUGACGUAUACGGUGUGACGCCUGCCCGGUGCCGGAAGGUUAAUUGAUGGGGUUAGCGGUAACGCGAAGCUCUUGAUCGAAGCCCCGGUAAACGGCGGCCGUAACUAUAACGGUCCUAAGGUAGCGAAAUUCCUUGUCGGGUAAGUUCCGACCUGCACGAAUGG